GAUUUACCGAGUGUCGUAUUUAUAGGUUCGCUCUAAGGAAGGCUUAAUAUGUUAAGGAUUCUAAGAUAAGCAUAGAUCAAAGUAAUUAUGAAAGCAAUAAUGGAAUCAAAGGUCAUAGCAGGUGAUAAACAUUUAUAUGUAGAAUAGUGAUCCAUUACAAUCUAGGCAUGGCAUAUGGGCUAAGGAAUAAAAAGAGACUAAAAGAAUGAAUUGAAUCAAAGAAUAAACAAACAACCUAUUGGAGCAGGUGUGGUCCUAGAUAC
This 263-nucleotide long non-coding RNA is filed under the name Sorghum bicolor (sorghum). Its description in RNAcentral is "long non-coding RNA (SBIC_LNC013717)". Lineage: Eukaryota; Viridiplantae; Streptophyta; Magnoliopsida; Poales; Poaceae. The record is from RNAcentral.